UUUUGCAAUAAGUUUGCGUAUUUUUUAGAAACGGAAGAAUUAUUUUUCCGUGCGGUAGUCGAGGUGGUGGUCAUGUUUAUUUCAGGUGCAAAAAAAGCUGGUGCUUAGUUUUUUUUUGCACAGUUUCUCGUUGGAUUUGUGUUAUAUGGAUUUUUUUGCACCAAUAAAAUCAGUUCCCGAGGCAGAUCCAACAGUUCGAAAUGGCGCGUUUCAAUGAAACCCUGAAGGGAAACUUGAAGGAAGGUUCCAAAAUGAAAUGAUAACAGACAACUCCGUAUUUCUGGGAAAGAAUGCAGUUUCCGGCGAGGUUUCCGGACAGCAUCAUCGAAAAGUAUCCUUAAAGUUAUGGCUUCUUCUUUGUACCUAGCUGGAGAUAUUUUUAGAAACGAGUGAUGAAAUAACUGAAUAAAGGAUAAU
Molecule: long non-coding RNA, 417 nt
Organism: Armigeres subalbatus
Lineage: Eukaryota; Metazoa; Arthropoda; Insecta; Diptera; Culicidae
Exons: 3
Source: RefSeq, a predicted model, not a curated record